UUAAAAGGCUCUGAAUUAUAAGAAGCCAGCUCUGAGACGGCUGCUGGAAUGGAUGAUGAAAAACAGCAGAGAGCUCAUGAAGGCAAAUUCAGAACUGGACAUCCAAACUCAGCAAGGUGUCCCAGAGCUGGGUCUGAUCCUGGUGGAUGUUGUCUUCCUAAGUACACAAGUUUCCCCAGCAGCACUGGUGUACCUGCCACUACCAUCAGAAGGACUGGCUGUAAGAGGUCAGAGACAUGUGCUGUGAACCAGCUGCCAAUUCAAGUGCCUGUGGAACCCUGCUCCUAAAUGUAGUGGGCAGCACGUGAAUGUGAGACUCCUUGGAGCAAAAACAUUGCCCAGACCUGCGAACACAGGCUGCUUUUGUUCACAUACAGCCAGGGCACGAGGGGCUGCCCACAUGCAACCUGCUCGAGAGCCAAAGGUCUUUCUGAAAGGGGGAGAGCUGCUCAGAGGGCUUUUGUAGCAGGUCAUCUGCCUGAGUUGGAAGAGCAAAUUCACAGAAGGAUGAUUGUCACAGAGGUGACAGCCCAAUGAACUGUCGAGGGGGCCCCAAAAUCAUAAACAACUCCAGGCUGUUCCUCACCCUAACCCCUUGUGACAUGAGCAGACUGUCAAUCCAUCUCAGGGCAGUGGAGCUGCAGAGGUUGCUUUUUAUGGCCUGGGCAGGAAUUUCCCCCAGCUCAGUGUUUGAUUUGGGCAGCACUGUAAUCUCUUUCUCUUCCAACAUUUCUAGUUCUUACUUUGGCCUCAUAUUGAUUUCGACAGACAUACCAAAAUGUAAUGCCUGCACUGCGCUUGUCAGGAAGAUAAAUAGAAGUAAUGAUCAGAGAGGGGAGAUGAGGUGGCCAUCUGACCCCUUUUCACUGGGGAAUGCAGCUGCCAGGAUUUCAGCCUGUCCAACUGCUGCCAUGGCUCCCUGUACCUCUGUGCUGGGGGAAAUCUGGUCAUACUGCCUGGGUGGGAUGGGAUGACUGUGGGACCUGCUUAUCCUCUGCUGAUGUUGCUGAGACCUGCCUUCAGCAGGGGGAAUGCCAGCAGCCCCUCUGUCUCCCCAUCUACACCUAGAUCUCAGUGAUGCCGUGCCAGUGGACAAAACACUGCUAUGCUCCCAGGAAUGGUGGGUCUCAGGGCUAGGUUUCACAGGCGGUGUUGCUGCUGGUUGGUUUAUUUCCAUGAAAUGCUAGAGAAAGUAAAUCCAGUUCCUGUUCAGCUGGGAGGGGAGAGUGCCCCUUUGUGCCUCCCCCCACUGCUGCCAUGGCUGAGCUAAUUCCCCAUGAGAACCUGCUUUCUUGCUGGCAUCAGUGUGAAGUGUGGAUGGGUGUUUUUGGACAUUGUUUACUUUUUAAAGAAAGUAUUUGCUACUGCAGUUUUGCUCUAUCUUACCUGCUCCCGCUGAUUAUUUUCUAGCAGUUGGCCUUGUCUGACAGCAUGCUGACCACAAUCUGUCAACUUGCUGAGCUGAUUUAAGGAGCAGAGGUUGCUUAAACUCUCUGUCCUUCCUCACUCAGAGCAAUAGCCCCCAGGCAGGGCACCCCUCACCUCUGUCCUCCUCUCUAGCUCAGCCCAUGCUGCUGAGGAUCAAACUCCAUGUAUUUCAGGACUUCCUAUAACUUGCAAGCUUGCUGCCAAGAACACUGGACUGUGCAUCAACUAUAUGCAAUUGAUUUUUUUGAUUGUGCUAUAGAGUGCACUUUGACAUAACAAUAAUAAUUAUAAUUAUUACUUUAGGCUGGGAAAGAUGGGCAGUGGCUUAUGUAACUGUGGAAAAGCCCCAAACUAAGAGACCCCCUGACAUCUAAUGUCACUAAAAUGGAACCAAAUAGCUGUGCUACCUCUGAAAAUUACAUCUGACAGAAUUAUUUUCUGUAUUUGUCCACCAUAGAAGGGUUUUUACACAAUAUUCUUAUCUAAUGAAUUGCCAAAGCGUAGCAGUUCGAGCUAGUUAGUUGCAAGAAGUUAGAGGUUAGAGAGGAGAAGUCUAUUACAGCAAUAACACUAAUAAGGGUCUGCCAAGAUCACACUUGAGUACAUGUAAAUACAGGGCAUUUGAGAUUAACAUCUCAGAGGACAGAGGAAUGGUGCUGAGAGGCAGUGACCGAUUGGGAAAAAUGAGAGCUGGGGCUAGAGGGUGCAGCCUUUCCCUGCAGCUCCCAUUCCAGCACCACUAUGCUCCCCCCAGCCCACAGCAGCCGCAGCCCACUGCUCCUGCCUCUGCCACCCCCUGCCCGAGGGUCGGAGCCUCUUCCAUGAAAUUUCAUGAGGCGGUUUGGCAGGUUCUGACGGGCGGCAGGCGUGAACCCUGUGCUGUGUGGAAUGAAGUGGCUUAAUAUAUCUGGGCCUCAACAUAUACACCUGGCAAGCAAGGUGAGGGCUUCCUGCAGCAGAGAGGGCAUUUCCCUCAUGCUAUGAAAAAAUCCAAGGGCCUGAAAACUUGAGAUGCGCCCUGGGGACUCUGUGGCAGGUAGUAGCAAGGCUUGAGGGAGGCUUUCUACCUGCCCCUCCCACUUCGUUCCUUCUGAGAGAGCUGCCAGGAGAGAGAUCCCUGGGGAGAAGGUCGUGCCACCGCUUGUCCCCCCACUCCCACCCUCUCCCAGCAACCACAUUUUGUUGAGGGCUGGUGGAGGCGAUGCAAAUCAACAUUUCCAAAGCGUCAGUGGCAAAGCUUGUAUAACAGGGAAAAAAACUAGACUACAGUAAGUAUUUUUGAUUAUUUUCUGAUAGCCUCCUGUUUCCCACAGCUGUACAUUUGCAGAAUAUGUUGUGAUUUCUUUAUGAUGUUACUAAAUGUAAUUUGUGUUUUCAAAGGGAAUUAUAAAUCAAAAACAAUGAAAGGGCUGGAAUCCCGAGCUUUUAAAAGUGGCUACUGCAUAUCAACAACAGCUACUUUUGAUCAACAUUUUUUGCUAUGCGUUUUUUGGAAUGGCUACAGGAUACUCAAAUGAGCAUUGUAAUUAAACUUCCACAAUGUGCAUCAUAAUUCUCUGGGCUCCAAAUGAUCUGCUACGACUUAUACUUGGAAUAAUCAUUAAGGUUUCUAUUGAAACUGACCACAUUUCAUCCAUUCUCUUAGUGCACUGAGGAAUAUAGUAUCAAUCACACUUUUUCUCUCACUGAACUGUAUUUUUCCUCUAGUUUUCCUUCUCUUACUUUUUUUCAUUUUUAUGGUCUUGCCAGUGUCAAAGAAACACGGUAUCGAAUAGGAUCAGACAUGACCACCUUCAAUUGAACAUGCAGGAUGCAUUUGCACUCAGCCUUUACUAAUAAGGAAGUUACAGCAAAGCACAAGGAGAUAAAAAUCUGACAAAUUAAAAGAAGAAAAUCUAUUUCUCCUUGGAGAGACAAAAAAAGGAAAAAUAGAUUAAUUGCAUUGGGGAGGUAUUUUGUGGAGCUGGUACAGUUGGUCUUACUAUAAACUGAUUCCUUUAUUAUAUAAACUGAUUGUACACUAUAAAUAUUUAAAUUUAUAUUUAUUUUACAAAAUCUGAUUCUACCUAUCAGAGCACAGUGUCAAAGUAUUUACAUUAAAAAGGUACUCCAUAAAAAUUCACGUCCAGCAAACAUGUAGACAUCUAACUAUAAUUAAAUCUUCAAAAGUGGCCAUCCUCCUGCUUCUGUAUAAGAACAAGUGUGUCCUUUCUGGGUUGCAAUCAAUAGCAGGUUACCUGAUUAUACACCUUAUUAUGUCUUGUAUAGUAGUGUGAGGCACUGGAGGGUGACAUGUGAACAAAUAGAUAUGCCUGAUCAGAUCUUUUCAAGAAACACACCUUACAGGAGAGAGAAAAACAAUUAGUGUGUGUUAUAGGUUACCGAUUUACAAUUUACAUCAUACAUCAAUGUCUGAUUAUUUUAAUGCAAAAUGUUUUUAGCUUCAUUUUAUUGCACUAAUGGUUUCAAUAACACACUAUAAUUUGCUGAGAUAGAGCAAUU
Pipra filicauda (Wire-tailed manakin) is the source of this 3930-nucleotide long non-coding RNA. RefSeq lists it as uncharacterized. The record is from RefSeq and is a predicted model, not a curated record. The transcript is spliced from 3 exons. NCBI's taxonomy places the organism in Eukaryota, Metazoa, Chordata, Aves, Passeriformes, Pipridae.